AUUGAACGCUGGCGGCAGGCCUAACACAUGCAAGUCGAGCGAGCGGGGGACGGGUGAGUAAUGUAUGGGGACUGACCGAUGGAGGGGGAUAAUUACCGGAAACGGAUGCUAAUACCGCAUACUAUCGGAUAACCCAUAUGGGAUUAGGGAGUAGGAGGGGUAAAGGCUCACCUAGUCGACGAUCUCUAGCUGGUCUGAGAGGAUGAUCAGCCACACUGGGACUGAGACACGGCCCAGACUCCUACGGAGGCAGCAGUGGGGAAUAUUGCACAAUGGGCGCAAGCCUGAUGCAGCCAUGCCGCGUGUAUGAAGAAGGCCUUAGGGUUGUAAAGUACUUUCAGUGGGGAGGCGUUACCCGCAGAAGAAGCACCGGCUAACUCCGUGCCAGCCGCCGCGGUAAUUC
Molecule: ribosomal RNA, 403 nt
Filed under: uncultured bacterium
Lineage: Bacteria
Description: partial 16S ribosomal RNA
Rfam family: Bacterial small subunit ribosomal RNA
Source: RNAcentral